This 460-nucleotide ribosomal RNA is filed under the name uncultured bacterium. RNAcentral describes it as "partial 16S ribosomal RNA". It matches the Rfam family "Bacterial small subunit ribosomal RNA", at positions 338 to 795 of the family's 1533-position model. The record is from RNAcentral.
CCUACGGGUGGCAGCAGUGAGGAAUAUUGGUCAAUGGGCUUACGCCUGAACCAGCCAAGUCGCGUGAGGGAAGACUGCCCUAUGGGUUGUAAACCUCUUUUGCCAGGGAGCAACGCCGGCUACGUCUAGCCGGACUGAGAGUACCUGAAGAAAAAGCAUCGGCUACUUCCGUGCCAGCAGCCGCGGUAAUACCGAGGUUGCGAGCGUUAUCCGGAUUAUUUGGGUUUAUGGGAUGCGUAGGCGGAAUGCCAAGUCAGCGGUAAAAUCGCGGGGCUCAACCUCGCUCCGCCGUUGACACUGGCGGUCUUGAGUGGGCGAGAGGUAUGCGGAAUGCGUGGUGUAGCGGUGAAAUGCAUAGAUAUCACGCAGAACUCCGAUGGCGAAGGCAGCAUACCGGCGCCCAACUGACGCUGAGGCACGAAAGCGUGGGUAUCGAACAGGAUUAGAUACCCGUGUAGUC